This 422-nucleotide ribosomal RNA is filed under the name uncultured bacterium. RNAcentral describes it as "bacterial SSU rRNA". It matches the Rfam family "Bacterial small subunit ribosomal RNA", at positions 361 to 775 of the family's 1533-position model. The record is from RNAcentral.
AUUUUGGACAAUGGGCGAAAGCCUGAUCCAGCAAUGCCGCGUGUGUGAAGAAGGCCUUCGGGUUGUAAAGCACUUUUGUCCGGAAAGAAAUCCUGAGGGCUAAUAUCCUUCGGGGAUGACGGUACCGGAAGAAUAAGCACCGGCUAACUACGUGCCAGCAGCCGCGGUAAUACGUAGGGUGCGAGCGUUAAUCGGAAUUACUGGGCGUAAAGCGUGCGCAGGCGGUUUGCUAAGACCGAUGUGAAAUCCCCGGGCUCAACCUGGGAACUGCAUUGGUGACUGGCAGGCUAGAGUAUGGCAGAGGGGGGUAGAAUUCCACGUGUAGCAGUGAAAUGCGUAGAGAUGUGGAGGAAUACCGAUGGCGAAGGCAGCCCCCUGGGCCAAUACUGACGCUCAUGCACGAAAGCGUGGGGAGCAAACAG